Molecule: non-coding RNA, 80 nt
Organism: Pelobates cultripes (western spadefoot toad)
Lineage: Eukaryota; Metazoa; Chordata; Amphibia; Anura; Pelobatidae
Source: the annotation of a GenBank genome assembly
ACACUGCAACAUUUCGACUCAAGAAUGGGUUCUUGUGAAGCUUGACAAAGACCCAUUCUUGGGUCGAAAUGUUGCAGUUU